Molecule: long non-coding RNA, 389 nt
Filed under: Panax ginseng (ginseng)
Lineage: Eukaryota; Viridiplantae; Streptophyta; Magnoliopsida; Apiales; Araliaceae
Description: long non-coding RNA (PGIN_LNC012833)
Source: RNAcentral
ACAUUUUGAACAAAUUUUCCCAUUAAACCACAAAUAUGAGACGAGCGUGUUCGGGCUUAGCCUCCUCAACUCUCUCCCGAGUUCUCGUAUCCGGCGGCUAUGACGGUUACGCCGCCGCCGUGAUCCAACCAAGACUCCUCCAAAAUGCGAUCUAUGGCACUACCACCGCCAGGUCCUUCUCCUCUGCUCGUUCGCCUCCGCCGCCAUGGUUUUCUUCCUGUACUGGCUACAAUUAUGGACUUGCCGGAGCUCUAUUCGCUGUUGCUGGAGCCGCCUCAUUCUUCCAAGAGGAGACGUAUGCUAAAGAGCUUACUCCUCCGGAGCUCGUCCCAAAGGAGGUUGUGUUGUAUCAGUAUGAAGCGUGCCCCUUUUGUAACAAAGUUAAAGGU